Transfer RNA from Loxodonta africana (African savanna elephant), 59 nucleotides. It matches the Rfam family "tRNA". Rfam says of the family: Transfer RNA (tRNA) molecules are approximately 80 nucleotides in length. Their secondary structure includes four short double-helical elements and three loops (D, anti-codon, and T loops). Further hydrogen bonds mediate the characteristic L-shaped molecular structure. tRNAs have two regions of fundamental functional importance: the anti-codon, which is responsible for specific mRNA codon recognition, and the 3' end, to which the tRNAs corresponding amino acid is attached (by aminoacyl-tRNA synthetases). tRNAs cope with the degeneracy of the genetic code in two manners: having more than one tRNA (with a specific anti-codon) for a particular amino acid; and 'wobble' base-pairing, i.e. permitting non-standard base-pairing at the 3rd anti-codon position. The record is from Rfam. NCBI's taxonomy places the organism in Eukaryota, Metazoa, Chordata, Mammalia, Proboscidea, Elephantidae.
AGUGGUUAAGCAUUUGGCUGCUAACCAAAAGGCUAGUGGUUCAAACCCAUCAGCCACUC